Long non-coding RNA from Antechinus flavipes (yellow-footed antechinus), 745 nucleotides. RefSeq lists it as uncharacterized. NCBI's taxonomy places the organism in Eukaryota, Metazoa, Chordata, Mammalia, Dasyuromorphia, Dasyuridae. The transcript has 3 exons. The record is from RefSeq and is a predicted model, not a curated record.
GACAGCAAAGUCCAAGUUCUUGCUGAGAUCAGUCAUGAGACAUAGGAAUUCUCAUCAGCGGUAAGAAAGUUCCAGGAUUAUUCUAUUCCUGAUCCUGAACUGGAGUGACUCUCCCUGCCCUGGGGGAGAAGGAGCGUCUUUGGUUGCAGAAGUUCAAAUAGAAACCUGCUGGCUGCUGAAGUGAUUAUUACUUUGAACUGAAACUAAGGCUACCUCCAGAAACCUCCCCAAGAAACCUGAUCCCAGAGAACCAUCAUAUAUUAUAGAAAAAGAAGAGAACACCCCAUUUUGGCGUCCAACGUGGGGCUGAUCUCAGAUCCUGAUUGCAGUGGAAAAGUCUUCUCAACCCAGAAAUUAGGGUUUCAUGAUGCACAAGAAAAAUCAGAUCAAAAAGGAAAAAUGAAAAAGAAAACAAAAUGCAAGGAAACAACAACAAAAAGGGUGAAAAUGCUAUGUUGUGAUCCACAUUCAGUUCUCAUAGUCCUCUCUCUGGGUGCAGAUGGCUUUCUUCAUCACAAGACUACUGGAAAUGGUCUGAAUCAAAAUGAUAGACUUUAGUGGGGAGACAUAUAUCAUCUCUCCAUAUUAGAAAAAAAACUACCCCUACUUAGUCCCUUAUCAUUGUUCAUUCAUGUUUAUUUUAGAUAUUUCUCUUCAUUCCUAUGUUUGAAUUUCAAAGUUUCUAUACAGUUCUGGGUUUUUUGUACAUUAAUACUUGAAAGACUGAUUUCAUUAAACACUCAUU